This 69-nucleotide transfer RNA is filed under the name Camelus bactrianus (Bactrian camel). It matches the Rfam family "tRNA". Rfam says of the family: Transfer RNA (tRNA) molecules are approximately 80 nucleotides in length. Their secondary structure includes four short double-helical elements and three loops (D, anti-codon, and T loops). The record is from Rfam by way of RNAcentral. RNAcentral also lists the same sequence under 2 other names. Lineage: Eukaryota; Metazoa; Chordata; Mammalia; Artiodactyla; Camelidae.
GAGGGUAUAGCUCAGUGGUAGAGCGCAUGCUUAGCACGCACGAUGUCCUGCCAAACCCCAGUACCUCCA